Molecule: ribosomal RNA, 301 nt
Filed under: uncultured bacterium
Lineage: Bacteria
Description: partial 16S ribosomal RNA
Rfam family: Bacterial small subunit ribosomal RNA
Source: RNAcentral
CAGUAGCCGCGGGAAAACGUAGGGUGCGAGCGUUAAUCGGAAUUACUGGGCGUAAAGCGUGCGCAGGCGGUUCGUUAAGACAGAUGUGAAAUCCCCGGGCUUAACCUGGGAACUGCAUUUGUGACUGGCGAGCUAGAGUAUGGCAGAGGGGGGUAGAAUUCCACGUGUAGCAGUGAAAUGCGUAGAGAUGUGGAGGAAUACCGAUGGCGAAGGCAGCCCCCUGGGCCAAUACUGACGCUCAUGCACGAAAGCGUGGGGAGCAAACAGGAUUAGAUACCCCGGUAGUCCCUGUCUCUUAUAA